UGCAAUAGGGUGGUUGUUGAAUUUGCAUAGAAUUACUUCAUAUAUCCAGCAUGACUAAUUUAAAUUUCACAUCUAAACAUAUUUUUGUCUUUUAAUUUUCACAUAUUCUUUAAGAAUAUUCAUUCUUUUAGAAUAAAUCAUGUUGAAAAGAAACAAGUUAGUCGUGUUUUAUCCUCAAGCUCCGCCCCCUGGAAAGGAAAAAUCGGCUGCACUGUCCGCCAUUUUUGUCUCUCGCUUUGGAAAAUCUACUACCAUCUGGAGUUUUACACUUGAAGAUAAAUGCAGAGUUUAAGCGCAUUACCACCAUGCCACUGCAGUCCAGAUCACUCUCGCAGAUAGAUGUGCUAUCUGACAAACUAAUAAAGGUCUUCAAAAGGCGAGGAGGACAAAGAGGAAGAAGACUUCAGAACAUUCUGGAGCCCACGGCCCAGGCCGCAGAUGAAGCCAUUAUCCAACGAUCUAAUAAGGAAACAACCAUGGAAU
Molecule: long non-coding RNA, 483 nt
Organism: Oreochromis aureus
Lineage: Eukaryota; Metazoa; Chordata; Actinopteri; Cichliformes; Cichlidae
Exons: 3
Source: RefSeq, a predicted model, not a curated record